This 252-nucleotide ribosomal RNA is filed under the name uncultured bacterium. Its description in RNAcentral is "partial 16S ribosomal RNA". It matches the Rfam family "Bacterial small subunit ribosomal RNA", at positions 524 to 775 of the family's 1533-position model. The record is from RNAcentral.
UACGAAGGGGGCGAGCGUUGUUCGGAUUUACUGGGCGUAAAGGGCGCGCAGGCGGUCUUGAAAGUCAGGCGUGAAAGCCCCGGGCUUAACCUGGGAAUUGCGCUUGAUACUCUGAGACUGGAGUACGGGAGAGGAGAGUGGAAUUCCCAGUGUAGAGGUGAAAUUCGUAGAUAUUGGGAAGAACACCAGUGGCGAAGGCGGCUCUCUGGACCGUAACUGACGCUGAGGCGCGAAAGCGUGGGGAGCAACAGG